UUCCCCCCUCCGACAGUGGGUUCCGAGGCUUUCCUCCGCUCUUCCGUUUCCGUUUCCGGGGGAAGGGACCAGAUGCAGAGCACGCCACUUCUCGCCUCCUGCUGGAGAGACAGGGUGGUACUGAGGAAGACCUCCUUUUCCCACUCCCACUUUACCAACCCCCACUAGGGGGUCAUCCAGGGCCUCAAAACAAGGUCCCAGGAGGAGGAGCUCAAGGACUUCCUUUGGUUGAGGGAGGCCCAGAUUGGCUGGCCUGCGGCAUAUGGCAGAACUACGGAGGAGAAUACAGGACAGAAAAUUAGAAAUGAAACAAUAUCAAGGAUGGUGUGAAAGCAUGUUUAAUGGGUUCCCUUGGCUGACUACCUUAAUAUCUACCUUUGCUGGACCACUCGUUAGUUAUAUUCUUACUAAUAAUACUCACCUUUGGGCCUUACGUACUAAACAGGUUAAUCAACUUUGUUAGAGAACAAAUUAGUGCAGUUCAGUUGAUGGUCCUCAGGUCUCAAUAUCAACCCUUGCACCCAAAAAUAAUGGACUCCAAAGUCCCAUGAUUGGGCCUUCCUUAGGUACUUGUGAAGGGCAGAAUGAAGGGCCCCCAACUUGACAAGACAGACUCCAUCUUGUAACCAGGCCUCCAUUUUAUAUAGUAGGCCCUGUCCUAAGGGCCUACUAUACUACUAUUACUACUAUUACUGAAAAAGAUAAAACCAACUGAAAUCAUUGUAACUGCCAAGCUGAUAAGCCCCUCACCCUGACCAUAAUUAAAAGGCUGUACCUGAGGUGCUAAAAGGCCUUCUGUACUACUUUGCUGUGUUGGGAGGGCCUGAGGGCCCCAAGUGUGAGCCUGAAUAAAGAUGCUUGGCUUUUGCAUA
Molecule: long non-coding RNA, 872 nt
Organism: Mastomys coucha (southern multimammate mouse)
Lineage: Eukaryota; Metazoa; Chordata; Mammalia; Rodentia; Muridae
Exons: 3
Source: RefSeq, a predicted model, not a curated record